Molecule: ribosomal RNA, 497 nt
Filed under: uncultured bacterium
Lineage: Bacteria
Description: partial 16S ribosomal RNA
Rfam family: Bacterial small subunit ribosomal RNA
Source: RNAcentral
GAUGAACGCUGGCGGCGUGCCUAAUACAUGCAAGUCGAGCGAACAGACGAGGAGCUUGCUCCUCUGACGUUAGCGGCGGACGGGGGAGUAACACGUGGAUAACCUCCCUAUAAGACUGGGAUAACUUCGGGAAACCGGAGCUAAUACCGGAUAAUAUAUUGAACCGCAUGGUUCAAUAGUGAAAGACGGUUUUGCUGUCACUUAUAGAUGGAUCCGCGCCGCAUUAGCUAGUUGGUAAGGUAACGGCUUACCAAGGCAACGAUGCGUAGCCGACCUGAGAGGAUGAUCGGCCACACGGGAACUGAGACACGGUCCAGACUCCUACGGGAGGCAGCAGUAGGGAAUCUUCCGCAAUGGGCGAAAGCCUGACGGAGCAACGCCGCGUGAGUGAUGAAGGUCUUCGGAUCGGAAAACUCUGUUAUGAGGGAAGAACAAAUGUGUAAGUAACUAUGCACGUCUUGACGGUACCUAAUCAGAAAGCCACGGCUAACUACGUG